UGGAGCAUAGCCAAGUGGUAAGGCACUAGAUUUUGGUUCUAGCAUUCGGUAGGUUCGAGUCCUCCUGCUCCA
RNAcentral lists this transfer RNA (72 nucleotides) under Neochloris aquatica. RNAcentral's name for it is "tRNA-Gln". It matches the Rfam family "tRNA". From Rfam's summary of the family: Transfer RNA (tRNA) molecules are approximately 80 nucleotides in length. The record is from RNAcentral. Lineage: Eukaryota; Viridiplantae; Chlorophyta; Chlorophyceae; Sphaeropleales; Neochloridaceae.